CCCAUCCCCUGCUUAUUCAGUCAAAUCUAGGUACUGCUGGGAAGGGACUUUGCAGAGGUAAUGCGGUUACAGACCUGCAGAUAGGGAGGUUAUCUUGAAUUAUUUGUGUAGGGCCAAUCUAAUUUCACAAGUCCUUAAAAGCAGAGAAUGUUCUCUGGCUGGUUAGAGAAGAGGAGGGCUAAAGAGGCAGAAGAAAGAUGUGGCAGAGAGGAUGUCCAAGAUUCCGAGCAUGAGAAGGAUUUUCUCUGAAGUUGCAGCUCUGUGAAUCAGGAGCCCAUGCACGAAGGCUGGAGAGAAGUCUCUAGGAGCUGACAGGAGCCUCCAGACAAUAGCCAACAAAAACCAGAGGUGUCAGUCCUAGAACUGCAUAGAAGGGAAUUCUGCCAGCAACCUAAAUAAGCCAGGAAGCCUCACCCAGAGGUUCCAGAUGAGAAUCCAG
RNAcentral lists this long non-coding RNA (439 nucleotides) under Homo sapiens (human). RNAcentral describes it as "HSALNT0122643". Lineage: Eukaryota; Metazoa; Chordata; Mammalia; Primates; Hominidae. The record is from RNAcentral.